RNAcentral lists this ribosomal RNA (390 nucleotides) under uncultured soil bacterium. RNAcentral's name for it is "bacterial SSU rRNA". It matches the Rfam family "Bacterial small subunit ribosomal RNA", at positions 26 to 414 of the family's 1533-position model. The record is from RNAcentral.
AGGAUGAACGCUAGCUGGAGGCUUAAUACAUGCAAGUCGAGCGGGAUCCACCCAGUAAUGGGUGGUGAGAGCGGCGCACGGGUGAGUAACGCGUACACGACCUACCUCUAACAGGGGGAUAGCCCUGGGAAACUGGGAUUAAUACCGCAUAUAAUUCUUAUUUUAAAAGAUGGGAAUGAAAGUUCAGGCGGUUAGAGAUGGGUGUGCGUCUGAUUAGCUAGUUGGUAAGGUAACGGUCUUACCAAGGCGAUGAUCGAGUAGGGGGCGUGAGAGCGUAGGACCCCCACACGGGUACUGAGACACGGACCCGAUCCGUACGGAGGCAGCAGUAAGAUAUUGGACAAUGGCCGACGAAGGCUAGAUCCGAGCCAUCCAGCGUGCGAAGGAAGA